GCCUUCGUGAUGAAAAGGUAGACAUAUCGACUUCAAAAGUCGACGCUAUUAGCAUAUCGGUUCGAAUCCGAUCGAGGGCA
This 80-nucleotide transfer RNA is filed under the name Carteria sp. SAG 8-5. RNAcentral's name for it is "tRNA-Leu". It matches the Rfam family "tRNA". From Rfam's summary of the family: Transfer RNA (tRNA) molecules are approximately 80 nucleotides in length. Their secondary structure includes four short double-helical elements and three loops (D, anti-codon, and T loops). The record is from RNAcentral. Lineage: Eukaryota; Viridiplantae; Chlorophyta; Chlorophyceae; Chlamydomonadales; Chlamydomonadaceae.